UUACAGAACUUGCCAUAGAUGUAUGGAAGGCUAUUGUAUCAGGCGUGUCUUGGAGUCCCAUGAGUUCUGCAUUGUUACAGCACUCGUACCUAGCAGUCCGAUAAGCUGUACUCGUACACUGCAAUCGCCCUUUGAUUUCCGAUGGCCGACUCACGAGGUAAAUUAGAAUGCGAAUUUGAUUCGUUUCGACGGUCGAUUCCGGAUUUAAAAUAAAAUACAUUAGCCUGCGUGUUGCACCUCGUGAAAUACUGGUAUGUGGUAUGUGUAAUUGAGUGUUUGUUUUAUACUGAUUCACGCGUGCUCGUAAUAUGUAGAUUAUUUUAGUCGUUGCACACAAACUUGAGCAGGGUGUUUAGAAAUGUAGAAUUAAAUUCUCUACUACUAAGUUUGUGUAUAAACAACUUUUUGUUCGACUGACGCGUAAACGCGACGUACCUGCUGCAACGCGCAGCGCACACGGCAGUCGUUACACCGCGUGGUCUGCAAGCGUGUCUUUCUAAUUGCCACGCGUUUUGAUGUUUUAAUUGAAUUAAUCGACGUGUAUUCUUUUGGCCAUCAGCAAAAUAUUCGGGACGGGCAUGUGUGGCGGUUUUGUUUAAUGAUUUGUCGCGGUUAGAGUGUUCUUAACUAAGAAUGUAUUUUGUUGACAUGUAAAAUCUAAACUUGUAUUGUUAAUAAAGAAAUAGUAAGAUAUA
Molecule: long non-coding RNA, 695 nt
Organism: Dalotia coriaria
Lineage: Eukaryota; Metazoa; Arthropoda; Insecta; Coleoptera; Staphylinidae
Exons: 4
Source: RefSeq, a predicted model, not a curated record